GACGAACCGUGCGAACGUUGUUCGGAAUCACUGGGUUUAAAGGGCGCGUAGGCGGCCGCCAAGUCGGUGGUGAAAUCUUUCAGCUUAACUGGAAAAUUGCCUUCGAUACUGGCGGCCUGGAGGAAGGUAGGGGCAUGCGGAACUUCCGGUGGAGCGGUGAAAUGCGUAGAUAUCGGAAGGAACACCGAUGGCGAAAGCAGCGUGCUGGACCUUUUCUGACGCUGAGGCGCGAAAGCCAGGGGAGC
RNAcentral lists this ribosomal RNA (245 nucleotides) under uncultured Zavarzinella sp. RNAcentral's name for it is "partial 16S ribosomal RNA". It matches the Rfam family "Bacterial small subunit ribosomal RNA", at positions 524 to 769 of the family's 1533-position model. Lineage: Bacteria; Pseudomonadati; Planctomycetota; Planctomycetia; Gemmatales; Gemmataceae. The record is from RNAcentral.